GAUUAGAGUUUGAUCAUGGCUCAGGACGAACGCUGGCGGCGUGCCUAACACAUGCAAGUCGAACGGAGAUGUUGAUUUCGGUUGACGUCUUAGUGGCGAACGGGUGAGUAACGCGUGAACAAUCUGACCUUAAGAGGGGGAUAACAACGAGAAAUCGUUGCUAAUACCGCAUAAGACCACAAUGCCGCAUGGCGAAGGGGUCAAAGGAGCAAUCCGCUUAAGGAGGGGUUCGCGUCCCAUUAGGUAGUAGGUGAGGUAACGGCCCACCUAGCCGACGAUGGGUAGCCGAGCUGAGAGGCUGAUCGGCCACACUGGAACUGAGACACGGUCCAGACUCCUACGGGAGGCAGCAGUGGGGAAUAUUGGGCAAUGGGCGCAAGCCUGACCCAGCAACGCCGCGUGAGGGAAGAAGGUUUUCGGAUUGUAAACCUCUGUCGCAGAUGACGAAACAAAUGACGGUAAUCUGAGAAGC
RNAcentral lists this ribosomal RNA (472 nucleotides) under uncultured bacterium. RNAcentral describes it as "bacterial SSU rRNA". It matches the Rfam family "Bacterial small subunit ribosomal RNA", at positions 1 to 488 of the family's 1533-position model. The record is from RNAcentral.